AGUGAACGCUGGCGGUAGGCCUAACACAUGCAAGUCGAACGGCAGCACAGUAAGAGCUUGCUCUUACGGGUGGCGAGUGGCGGACGGGUGAGGAAUACAUCGGAAUCUACUUUUUCGUGGGGGAUAACGUAGGGAAACUUACGCUAAUACCGCAUACGACCUACGGGUGAAAGCAGGGGAUCUUCGGACCUUGCGCGAUUGAAUGAGCCGAUGUCGGAUUAGCUAGUUGGCGGGGUAAAGGCCCACCAAGGCGACGAUCCGUAGCUGGUCUGAGAGGAUGAUCAGCCACACUGGAACUGAGACACGGUCCAGACUCCUACGGGAGGCAGCAGUGGGGAAUAUUGGACAGUGGGCGCAAGCCUGAUCCAGCCAUACCGCGUGGGUGGAGAAGGCCUUCGGGUUGUAAAGCCCUUUUGUUGGGAAAGAAAAGCUGCAGGUUAAUACCACGCUGUUCUGACGGUACCCAAAGAAUAAGCACCGGCUAACUUCGUG
RNAcentral lists this ribosomal RNA (492 nucleotides) under uncultured bacterium. RNAcentral's name for it is "partial 16S ribosomal RNA". It matches the Rfam family "Bacterial small subunit ribosomal RNA", at positions 29 to 507 of the family's 1533-position model. The record is from RNAcentral.